CUGGCGGCGUGCUUAACACAUGCAAGUCGAACGGUGAUGACCAGCUUGCUGGUCGGAUCAGUGGCGAACGGGUGAGUAACACGUGAGUAACCUGCCCCAGACUCUGGGAUAAGCCUUGGAAACGAGGUCUAAUACUGGAUAUGAGAUGCCCCUGCAUGGGGAGUGUCUGGAAAGAUUUAUCGGUCUGGGAUGGACUCGCGGCCUAUCAGCUUGUUGGUGGGGUAAUGGCCUACCAAGGCGACGACGGGUAGCCGGCCUGAGAGGGCGACCGGCCACACUGGGACUGAGACACGGCCCAGACUCCUACGGGAGGCAGCAGUGGGGAAUAUUGCACAAUGGGCGCAAGCCUGAUGCAGCGACGCCGCGUGAGGGAUGAAGGCCUUCGGGUUGUAAACCUCUUUCAGCAGGGAAGAAGCGCAAGUGACGGUACCUGCAGAAGAAGCGCCGGCUAACUACGUGCCAGCAGCCGCGGUAAUACGUAGGGCGCAAGCGUUGUCCGGAAUUAUUGGGCGUAAAGAGCUCGUAGGCGGUUUGUCGCGUCUGGUGUGAAAACUCAAGGCUCAACCUUGAGCUUGCAUCGGGUACGGGCAGACUAGAGUGCGGUAGGGGUGACUGGAAUUCCUGGUGUAGCGGUGGAAUGCGCAGAUAUCAGGAGGAACACCGAUGGCGAAGGCAGGUCACUGGGCCGCAACUGACGCUGAGGAGCGAAAGCAUGGGGAGCGAACAGGAUUAGAUACCCUGGUAGUCCAUGCCGUAAACGUUGGGCACUAGGUGUGGGGCUCAUUCCACGAGUUCCGUGCCGCAGCAAACGCAUUAAGUGCCCCGCCUGGGGAGUACGGCCGCAAGGCUAAAACUCAAAGGAAUUGACGGGGGCCCGCACAAGCGGCGGAGCAUGCGGAUUAAUUCGAUGCAACGCGAAGAA
RNAcentral lists this ribosomal RNA (922 nucleotides) under Oerskovia enterophila. RNAcentral describes it as "bacterial SSU rRNA". It matches the Rfam family "Bacterial small subunit ribosomal RNA", at positions 36 to 968 of the family's 1533-position model. The record is from RNAcentral. Lineage: Bacteria; Bacillati; Actinomycetota; Actinomycetes; Micrococcales; Cellulomonadaceae.